RNAcentral lists this unclassified non-coding RNA (88 nucleotides) under Pseudomonas mucidolens. Lineage: Bacteria; Pseudomonadati; Pseudomonadota; Gammaproteobacteria; Pseudomonadales; Pseudomonadaceae. The record is from RNAcentral.
UGUGGGAGCGGGCUUGCUCGCGAUAGCGUUGGGUCAGUCACUUUAUGUGUGCCUGAUACACCGCAUCGCGAGCAAGCCCGCUCCCACA